AAAGUACUCCCUCCGUCCAAAAAUUCUUGUCUUAGGUUUGUCUAGACACGGAUGUAUCAAGUCACAUUUUAGUAUUAGAUACAUCCGUAUCUAGACAAAUCUAAGACAAGAAAUUUGGGACAGAGGGAGUAGUUG
This is a non-coding RNA of Triticum urartu, 135 nucleotides long. The record is from Rfam. Lineage: Eukaryota; Viridiplantae; Streptophyta; Magnoliopsida; Poales; Poaceae.